This 479-nucleotide ribosomal RNA is filed under the name uncultured bacterium. RNAcentral's name for it is "partial 16S ribosomal RNA". It matches the Rfam family "Bacterial small subunit ribosomal RNA", at positions 28 to 507 of the family's 1533-position model. The record is from RNAcentral.
GAUGAACGCUAGCGGGAGGCCUAACACAUGCAAGCCGAGCGGUAUUGUUUCUUCGGAAAUGAGAGAGCGGCGUACGGGUGCGUAACACGUGUGCAACCUGCCUUUAUCUGGGGGAUAGCCUUUCGAAAGGAAGAUUAAUACUCCAUAAUAUAUUGAACGGCAUCGUUUAAUAUUGAAAGCUCCGGCGGAUAGAGAUGGGCACGCGCAAGAUUAGCUAGUUGGUGAGGUAACGGCUCACCAAGGCGAUGAUCUUUAGGGGGCCUGAGAGGGUGAUCCCCCGCACUGGUACUGAGACACGGACCAGACUCCUACGGGAGGCAGCAGUGAGGAAUAUUGGUCAAUGGGUGCAAGCCUGAACCAGCCAUCCCGCGUGAAGGACGACUGCCCUAUGGGUUGUAAACUUCUUUUGUAUAGGGAUAAACCUACCCUCGAGAGGGUAGCUGAAGGUACUAUACGAAUAAGCACCGGCUAACUACGUG